AAGCAGCUCGCCAGCAUUUUGACUGACAUCCCAAACUCUAUGAGCUGCCACCCUGCAUCCAAAGACUCUCCAACCUUGCCCGACUUCUCAGCCACAGAUAUGGGUUUCUACAGAGGACCGACGGGGGCACAGCCAACAUGAGUACUAUCAGAGCCAGACCUACUCACAAUCUGUGAACCCCUACUCGUACCACCAGUUUAACCCGAACGGAAUGGGGGGCCCGGGGGCAUAACCCACAAAGUCAGAAUACACCUACAGUAACUCAUACAAGCAAUACGGACAUUAUAAACAGGGAGCUGCAGACACCACCCCAGGACACUGCCAAACCCAGCAACUCAGGGCCUAAGCCUGGAGGGGACACACCCAGGACAAGAUGCCAGUCUGUCGCAAGGCACCCCAAGGGGGACUCGAACCCCAGACCCACCAGAGAGCAGGACCCGGUCCAACCCACUGCGCCACCACACCAAGAGGCAAACAAAUUAACCCAGUUUAUUAAACCUUCAUCUCCUAACAACAUCACAUCACAGAAAGUGCAAAGACACGUGGAGGCCUGGAUGGAAAACAACAUGUAUAUACUCCAGGCCCAUCAUGAAGGCAUAAUACACACACACACACAGAAACCCACGUCUGACUUAGCCAGUAAGGCAGAAUGGGAGGUGGCGGUGAAGUGGGCAAAAAGUAGAUACAGAUUACACAAAUUAAAAGAAGAAACAUUGAUCAGAACGAAACCUACGUAACCCCGAACCCUAACUCUUGCCCUAACCAUCACCUUGACCCCAGCCCUCAUCCUAACCCUAUCCUCAGACCACACAUCAUACACGCUCAAAAAAUUUUUUUUCCUAAAAAACAUCUCCCAUCCACAGCCUACCCCAAUCCAAGCAUACAAACCUGUCCUGGACACCUAAACCCCAGCCACAUCACAAGACAUUCACCACAGAAAUUUCAAACCCACCUGCAAUUCUACACAAAACACCCACAAGGGAGAGCCAUCACUCCACAAUGGACAUCUCUCUCUCUCUCACACACA
Molecule: long non-coding RNA, 1027 nt
Filed under: Scleropages formosus (Asian bonytongue)
Lineage: Eukaryota; Metazoa; Chordata; Actinopteri; Osteoglossiformes; Osteoglossidae
Description: lncRNA (ENSSFOG00015032265.1)
Source: RNAcentral